Molecule: long non-coding RNA, 697 nt
Organism: Hevea brasiliensis (rubber tree)
Lineage: Eukaryota; Viridiplantae; Streptophyta; Magnoliopsida; Malpighiales; Euphorbiaceae
Exons: 2
Source: RefSeq, a predicted model, not a curated record
UUGAAAUAUUUUUAUUUAAUUUUUGAAAAAAAUAAAAUCAAUUAAACCCAAUCAACCGAACUAAAUGUCAUUUUAGAAAGAUUUAUAAUGCAUAUAGCUUGUUUAGCUUGGUGACGGAGAGUUAUGAGACCUAUGGAAUGUGUUUUUUCUUUUUGUUAGCUUAACAUAGUGAUUAGAUCAUGACCAUCAAUUCCAAUUAAUCUCAGUUGUCCAAGUCUUUAUAUAUAAAUGUAAGAUUCUAUCUACCCUAGCCAUCUAAGGCUCCAAAGUCUUCUUCUCCCUUCCUUUUCUUUUUUUUUUUUUUUUUUUGAAUGGAGACUUAGAAAAGUGAAAGCCCCAUCACUUGCGUCUGCCCACCAGUCGAGCAUCACCUCCUUGACCCUACCACUUGCAUUGUUGUUUGUUCCUUUGUAGUCACUUGGCUCCUCGCAUGUCCAUGGUUGAUAGCUCCUCAUGUUUCAUUGUGUCAUUGUAUCUAGAUAAGAGCAAGGAGAAAGCAGCAGAGUGAGCUGCUAUUGAAACUGAGGACUACACUGAUCUUUUUGUACGGGUAUUGUUUUAUACCCUUGUAGUUAUUUUGAUGUAAAUAUUGUAAUGUUUUAUGUAUCAAUGUAAAGUUGAGCAGUUGUAUAAUAAAUUGUAAUAAUAUUAUUUUUGGAUUUUCUUUUUGUAAAUUAAGAUUUGUAUUUGUGAAUUU